Molecule: long non-coding RNA, 1594 nt
Organism: Triticum dicoccoides
Lineage: Eukaryota; Viridiplantae; Streptophyta; Magnoliopsida; Poales; Poaceae
Exons: 7
Source: RefSeq, a predicted model, not a curated record
GCCUCCACUCUUGUUUUGGCUUUCCACUCCUGAGCUAGGGUUGCCGCCGCUGGCGCCGCCGCCGCCGCCACUGCCGCCCCAUCGCUCCUCCGGCGCUGGCCAUCGAAGGAAGGUCAUCUUCUCCUCUUGGUGGCUUCCUCAUAGCAAGGUGUGGCGCUACUCCUCCGCACAACCCCGUCGGCAAGAGCGAGAAGGCGGGCGGCGCCGCGAGCUCUCGUCCCGAGGAAGCCGUGGGAGGACGACGUUCAUGCGGUCAUCCGCGCUUCUUCCGACGGCGAGGCCAGCCUCCUUUUCACCUCUGCUAGACCCACAGCUAUCCAUCUUCCAUUGCUCUUUGUUCCUAUUGGAUGGUGGCGCCCUAGGAGUGGAUGAUUGAAUUCAGUCCUGCUGUGUCAUGUGUGAGGGUGAUGUAAAAGGCUCAACAGAUGGUUUCACGGGCUGGCAUAACCGGAUGUGAGAAGAUAGUUGAGAAUCUUCUGUUUGCAAUUAAGAACCCUGCACAGCUAGAUGUUUCACUGUCAGUCCUGAAUCCCGUGACCACACUGCCGGGUCAUAAGGCGGUGGUGAACUGCACGCUGUGGCUUCCAACCAAGAAGGGUGCAUUCAAGGGAGACACACUAUCUAUUGUCCGGAAGUUCUGAUGGUGCUAUUAUGACGUGGAAGAUUGGUUCUGGAAUAGGCAAGUGGUUGCUAGGAAAAAGUUUGCCUGUUUAUCUUAAUCAAGUCGGCGGGCAUGGCGCUGCUGCAUCAUACUUGCAUGGCCCGAUGGCGCCCGUCAUCGUCCAUGAGCAGGACAAACAGCUGGCAAUGGAGCCGCUCUGGGCUCCAAGACGAGCCGCUCUGGGCGCUCCGCCGUGCCGCCGGUUCCUCCGGCAAUAUCAUGAACACCAAGGAAUACGCGCAAAUGAUCAGCUGGCCCAUCAACUCCAGCAAGAAGCAAUAGGCUGACGUCGCCUACGCGGCGAUGACUGAAGGGACGCACAACAGUGCCGUCGUCAUCAUGAACAUCAUCACGUUGGUCGACGCCUUCUUUGACGCGAACAACUAGAUGGAGCUGUUCCCUUCUAAUGUGUGCAAGGCAAUGGCCAUUCAGGUCAUACACCAUGGCGCUGCUUCUGGCGAACUCGGCAGUUGAUCUCUCAUAUUGGUAAUCACUGUUUGAUGCUUCAGGUUUCAUCCUCCUGCCCUAUUCCACUUGAUUUUUCCAAUAUGGUAAAUAUCAGCAGAAAAGAAAUUCACUGCUAAAGUUAACAAUAUAUAUGUGUAGAAAUACAUCAAUAGAAUAGAUGUCCAUGUAAAUUAAGAAUUUAGGAUUAGCUACAUCUUCAGACUGGAGCUGAGUUACAACUUCACUUGGUGGAUCACUGGAGCUUAGGAUACUAUGAAUAGUGACUUGUUGUGUUCAAUCUGCAACAAUAGGCUAAACAAAAUGUAGUGUAUUAUGUCCAGAAUGUUUAAAAUGGAACGGUUAAGUUUAUAAGAUUGUGUGUAUCUAAAAAGAAGGUUUGGAGUUCAAACAGUUCUCAUAAAUUUAUGCAAAUGAUAUCCACUUCAGAAAUGUCAUUCCUAUGUUGGUAACAAACAUCGUGUCUUG